Anser brachyrhynchus (Pink-footed goose) is the source of this 1697-nucleotide long non-coding RNA. NCBI's taxonomy places the organism in Eukaryota, Metazoa, Chordata, Aves, Anseriformes, Anatidae. The record is from Ensembl.
AAAAAUUUAAAAAAUCACGCAUGUGAGAGGCAGAAUUGUAUUAGAACAUCUGUUUUCAGCUUGAUGCUUUUAUUCAGAUGUUUGCUUCUCUCUUGUCUGAGGUGACCAGGAGAUAUCAGAGUUCAGAAAUCUGGCCAGAGAAACUUGCUUAAAAUUGCUUUGUCUUGUCCACAAAAACGCCCCAGGCUUUACAUGAAUGGCACAUUUCAACAAAAGUAAAUUUAGUUGAAAUGCUCUGACCACCUCCAGACUGUUCUCUGUGGCACCAGGCACUGCAGGCAAAACAGAUACAUCUUGGCAAAAUUACACCACUGAAAUUGCCGGCAGAAGAGCUCAAUUUAACACCCACUAAUUGUUGCACAAUAGUUACAGGAAUAAACGGAAUUUGUUAAUUAGAUGCACGCCAAUGAGUAAUUCAAGACUGGUUUAAAUAAUUAUUCCUAUCUUCCCAAUAGGCUGUGGUGGUGAUUAGCUAGCUGGCUGUUUCUCUUGACUCUUCUGCUUCAAAUAGAAAGGAGGUGAGACACCCAUGCACUGAGCCAUGGCACUCCUUAAUGAAAUCCCACUCCCGGGUUGCUGGGACCCGCUUGCCUGCGGCUGCUGUUGGUUGUUGCUUCUGACCACAGAAACGUCACAGACAGCGAGGCACGCUCUUCAUGGACCUAGGAGAAAUGUUGCUACUGAAACAGCCACCUGAUGGCUGCCUAAAGGAAAACAGCAGUAGUACAAACUGGUUCUGUGUAGGAAAUAUUGCAAUCUGUAAGAUUUGUGGAGGAAAUUAAGGAAGGCAGCACACAAGCAGGAGCCGGGAAGCAUGAAGACUAAUCUUGCCAAAAUUCAGGUAAAUGAUCAUAAGUUCCAAGACCUUAACGUUGUAUCUCCCCUCAUAAAUCAGCACCUCUAAACACUCCAGAAAUACCUUGUCCACCUUGCACUAAAGCACUUGUUCAAUUGGUGGGAUGACAGAGCAAGGAAAGUAAAGGACAAAGGUGCAAGAAGGCACUAUUAACCAUGGGCACAUUAACGGUAGGGACAGCCCAGAUGCCUGAUAUGCAGUCCCUUGCUGGAGAGGGCAAUUCUUCGUUAGCAGGGAUUGUAGCAGUUUGUGAAAAACAUUAACACGAAUCAUUGUUGGUCCUCAUUUUCUCAUCGUUAGGUUGAGAUAGAGCCCCACAAAUUACUUUAAAGCUCAGUACCAUCCUCUGCUACUUUUUCCCCAUUACCUGUUCUCUCUCUUCAUAUGUCUCCAGUUACCUCCCAUCUUGCAGCAAAAGGAGACAAUGUUUGACAAAUGUUCUCCCUCUUCUUGGGCCCUAAGCAGUGACAGAAGUACUUUUCCAGUUUUCUCAGUACAUCUCACUGUUUUGGCAGAAGUAUUUCCUCUCUCAUCUAACCCUUGCUCACUUAUACCCCUUACAUCAUGAUUCCCCACAAAUUUCAGCUAGUAUCUGAGCUGCCUAGGUUAGGAACACAGACAAGGUAAGCUCUCUGUUUAGUCAAUGGAGAGGGACCAUGGUCUUCAAGCUGUGAUUCAAGUCUCAGGUCACCUGUGUAACCCUCAGAUAGUUUCUCUUUUUGUUAACUGUAGAGGGAGCUGAAAGCUAGCAGGAUCCUAAUUUAUUUGCCUGAGGUGAGGUAGAGCUGGACCCUUGCAUGGACCGGACUGGAGACUACAGGCCAAGCUAUUUAACACAGCA